This 28-nucleotide non-coding RNA is filed under the name Rattus norvegicus (Norway rat). Lineage: Eukaryota; Metazoa; Chordata; Mammalia; Rodentia; Muridae. The record is from RNAcentral.
UNGCUGUCCUAUCAGAAGCUCCAGCAGU